Molecule: ribosomal RNA, 258 nt
Filed under: uncultured bacterium
Lineage: Bacteria
Description: partial 16S ribosomal RNA
Rfam family: Bacterial small subunit ribosomal RNA
Source: RNAcentral
GACAGAGGGUGCAAACGUUGUUCGGAAUUACUGGGCGUAAAGCGUGUGUAGGCGGCCAUAUAAGUCGGAUGUGAAAGCCCUGGGCUCAAACCCCAGGAAGUGCACUCGAUACUGUAUGGCUUGAGUACUGGAGAGGUUGGUGGAAUUCUCGGUGUAGAGGUGAAAUUCGUAGAUAUCGAGAGGAACACCGGUGGCGAAGGCGGCCAACUGGACAGAUACUGACGCUGAGACACGAAAAGCGUGGGGGAGCAAAACAGG